RNAcentral lists this ribosomal RNA (235 nucleotides) under uncultured prokaryote. RNAcentral describes it as "partial 16S ribosomal RNA". It matches the Rfam family "Bacterial small subunit ribosomal RNA", at positions 524 to 758 of the family's 1533-position model. The record is from RNAcentral.
UACAGAGGGUGCAAGCGUUGUUCGGAAUUAUUGGGCGUAAAGGGUACGUAGGCGGCGCUAUCAGUCGGGUGUGAAAUCCCUCGGCUCAACCGAGGAACUGCGCCCGAUACUGUAGUGCUUGAGGGAGACAGAGGUAAGCGGAACUGAUGGUGGAGCGGUGAAAUGCGUAGAUAUCUGGAGGAACACCGGUGGCGAAGGCGGCAUCCUGGACCGGCAUUGACGCUGAGGCGCGAAA